Molecule: long non-coding RNA, 2580 nt
Organism: Oncorhynchus keta (chum salmon)
Lineage: Eukaryota; Metazoa; Chordata; Actinopteri; Salmoniformes; Salmonidae
Exons: 3
Source: RefSeq, a predicted model, not a curated record
CUUUGUGAGAUAUUGUUCAUUUUGACUCUACUAAGCCUUUUCCUAGUUAUAGCCUGCAGUCCUAGUUUUGAUUCACCUGCCUGUUUGCCUACCUGUGUGUGACCAUUGCCUGCCUGUGACCACGAUUCCUGCCUUCUGCGAAGGCGAAAUAAACACCUGCCACGCUACUUCCAAAACUUGGUGGAUUUGUUCAGUAGUGUUGUAGGAACCCCCUACCAUAUCAGGAGCGGAAGGUGGAGGCAGUAUGUGGCCAGGAACCAGUCCCACUUCAGAUGCAGCCCCCUGACUAACAGACAGGUUGAUACAGAUGGAGCCCCCUGACUAACAGACAGGUUGAUACAGAUGGAGCCCCCUGACUAACAGACAGGUUGAUACAUAUGGAUUCCCCUGACUAACAGACAGGUUGAUACAGAUGGAGCCCCCUGACUAACAGACAGGUUGAUACAGAUGGAGUCCCCUGACUAACAGACAGGUUGAUACAGAUGGAGCCCCCUGACUAACAGACAGGUUGAUACAUAUGGAUUCCCCUGACUAACAGACAGGUUGAUACAGAUGGAGUCCCCUGACUAAUAGACAGGUUGAUACAGAUGGAGCCCCCUGACUAACAUAACAGACAGGUUGAUACAGAUGGAGACCCUGACUAACAGACAGGUUGAUACAGAUGGAGUCCCCUGACUAACAGACAGGUUGAUACAGAUGGAGCCCUUGACUAACAGACAGGUUGAUACAGAUGGAGCCCCCUGACUAACAGACAGGUUGAUACAGAUGGAGCCCCCUGACUAACAGACAGGUUGAUACAGAUGGAGCCCCCUGACUAACAGACAGGUUGAUACACCAUACAAAGGGAUGACAAAGGGAUGACAACUAACAUGUACCACCAGACAAAAUGCUGAUAAGUACAGUAUCUGUGUCGGCUAUGAAUGACAAGAUGAAAGAUGUGUAAUAUUUGCACAUUGUUAUAUUAGCAGAAAACUGCUUCUACUGUAUUAUGUGAAGGAUGUGAAGUGUUGUGUGAAGGUUCAUUGUACAUGGAACUGUUACACGUUAAAGUUAUGUUUAGAAUAUCUACAUAAGUUCAGCAAUUGCAUUCUUCACAUAUUACUAUGUAGGCUACUGACCAAUUAAAAGCUUCCUCCUGGAAGAAGCUUGGCCAGUACAUAUGAGAAGAGUGCCAUCUUCCUGUAUCUAACAUCUGCCUGUAGCUACUCCACCCCUCCGGCCACCUGACUGCACCUGUCCAUAACCUUUAAUAGAUUACAUAGGUGGAAGAGAAUUCAUCACCCACUGGAGACUUGAAGACAGAACCUCACCCAGAGAGCUGUGUAUGUCAGUGUGGUUAGACAGACAGAACCUCACCCAGAGAGCUGUGCAUGUCAGUGUGGUUAGACAGACAGAACCUCACCCAGAGAGCUGUGCAUGUCAGUCUGUUUAGACAGACAGAACCUCACCCAGAGAACUGUGCAUGUCAGUCUGGUUAGACAGACAGAACCUCACCCAGAGAACUGUGCAUGUCAGUCUGGUUAGACAGACAGAACCUCACCCAGAGAGCUGUGCAUGUCAGUGUGGUUAGACAGACAGAACCUCACCCAGAGAGCUGUGCAUGUCAGUGUGGUUAGACAGGCAGAACCUCACCCAGAGAGCUGUGCAUGUCAGUGUGGUUAGACAGACAGAACCUCACCCAGAGAACUGUGCAUGUUAGUCUGGUUCGACAGACAGAACCUCACCCAGAGACCUGUGCAUGUCAGUGUGGUUAGACAGACAGAACCUCACCCAGAGAACUGUGCAUGUCAGUCUGGUUAGACAGACAGAACCUCACCCAGAGAGCUGUGCAUGUCAGUCUGUUUAGACAGACAGAACCUCACCCAGAGAACUGUGCAUGUCAGUCUGGUUAGACAGACAGAACCUCACCCAGAGAGCUGUGCAUGUCAGUCUGUUUAGACAGACAGAACCUCACCCAGAGAACUGUGCAUGUCAGUCUGGUUAGACAGACAGAACCUCACCCAGAGAACUGUGCAUGUCAGUCUGGUUAGACAGACAGAACCUCACCCAGAGAGCUGUGCAUGUCAGUGUGGUUAGACAGACAGAACCUCACCCAGAGAGUUGUGCAUGUCAGUGUGGUUAGACAGACAGAACCUCACCCAGAGAGCUGUGCAUGUCAGUGUGGUUAGACAGACAGAACCUCACCCAGAGAGUUGUGCAUGUCAGUCUGGUUAGACAGACAGAACCUCACCCAGAGAGCUGUGCAUGUCAGUGUGGUUAGACAGACAGAACCUCACCCAGAGAACUGUGCAUGUCAGUCUGGUUAGACAGCCAAAUCCUUAGAAAUAGAACAGAAUGCCAUACUAGUCCUGGGACAGUUGACGUUGUACCAAAGAUGUUUAUGCUCCAUGUUCUAUCUGUGGUUGUACUCUCACACAACUUUUAUGAAUGCACUAGGUCAAGUGUAGGCAUACUGUCUUUAUAAACAAAUCAAUAUUAUAGCCUAUUUACAACAGAACAUGUUUUGUCUUUGUGACACAAACACACCUGUCUUUUAAUUUUUUUAAAUUUAAUCUUUUAAAUAAAUGUGUCUACGCUCAA